UGCAAGUCGAACGAGCUCUCCCUAAAAAAUUUUAUGCUUGCAUAAAAGAUUUUAGGAUUCGGAGCGAGUGGCGAACUGGUGAGUAACACGUGGGUAACCUGCCCUGAAGAGGGGGAUAACAUUUGGAAACAAAUGCUAAUACCGCAUAACAAUGAAAACCGCAUGGUUUUCACUUGAAAGAUGGCUCUGCUAUCACUUCAGGAUGGACCCGCGCCGUAUUAGCUAGUUGGUGAGAUAAAAGCUCACCAAGGCGAUGAUACGUAGCCGACCUGAGAGGGUAAUCGGCCACAUUGGGACUGAGACACGGCCCAGACUCCUACGGGAGGCAGCAGUAGGGAAUCUUCCACAAUGGACGCAAGUCUGAUGGAGCAACGCCGCGUGAGUGAUGAAGGGUUUCGGCUCGUAAAACUCUGUUGUUAAAGAAGAACAAGUGUAAGAGUAACUGUUUACGCUUUGACGGUAUUUAACCAGAAAGCCACGGCUAACUACGUGCCAGCAGCCGCGGUAAUACGUAGGUGGCAAGCGUUGUCCGGAUUUAUUGGGCGUAAAGCGAGCGCAGGCGGUUUUGUAA
This 571-nucleotide ribosomal RNA is filed under the name uncultured Lactobacillaceae bacterium. RNAcentral describes it as "bacterial SSU rRNA". It matches the Rfam family "Bacterial small subunit ribosomal RNA", at positions 56 to 586 of the family's 1533-position model. Lineage: Bacteria; Bacillati; Bacillota; Bacilli; Lactobacillales; Lactobacillaceae. The record is from RNAcentral.